This 1097-nucleotide ribosomal RNA is filed under the name Klebsiella pneumoniae. RNAcentral describes it as "bacterial SSU rRNA". It matches the Rfam family "Bacterial small subunit ribosomal RNA", at positions 166 to 1260 of the family's 1533-position model. Lineage: Bacteria; Pseudomonadati; Pseudomonadota; Gammaproteobacteria; Enterobacterales; Enterobacteriaceae. The record is from RNAcentral.
AUACCGCAUAAUGUCGCAAGACCAAAGUGGGGGAAGUUAGGGACUCAUGCAAUCAGAAGUGCCCAGAUGGGAUUAGAUAGUAGGAGGGGUAACGGCUCACCUAGGCGAAGAUCCCUAGCUGGUCUGAGAGGAUGACCAGCCACACUGGAACUGAGACACGGUCCAGACUCCUACGGGAGGCAGCAGUGGGGAAUAUUGCACAAUGGGCGCAAGCCUGAUGCAGCCAUGCCGCGUGUGUGAAGAAGGCCUUCGGGUUGUAAAGCACUUUCAGCGGGGAGGAAGGCGUUAAGGUUAAUAACCUUGGCGAUUGACGUUACCCGCAGAAGAAGCACCGGCUAACUCCGUGCCAGCAGCCGCGGUAAUACGGAGGGUGCAAGCGUUAAUCGGAAUUACUGGGCGUAAAGCGCACGCAGGCGGUCUGUCAAGUCGGAUGUGAAAUCCCCGGGCUCAACCUGGGAACUGCAUUCGAAACUGGCAGGCUAGAGUCUUGUAGAGGGGGGUAGAAUUCCAGGUGUAGCGGUGAAAUGCGUAGAGAUCUGGAGGAAUACCGGUGGCGAGGCAGCCCCCUGGACAAAGACUGACGCUCAGGUGCGAAAGCGUGGGGAGCAAACAGGAUUAGAUCCCCUGGUAGUCCACGCCGUAAACGAUGUCGAUUUGGAGGUUGUGCCCUUGAGGCGUGGCUUCCGGAGCUAACGGGUUAAAUCGACCGCCUGGGGAGUACGGCCGCAAGGUUAAAACUCAAAUGAAUUGACGGGGGCCCGCACAAGCGGUGGAGCAUGUGGUUUAAUUCGAUGCAACGCGAAGAACCUUACCUGGUCUUGACAUCCACAGAACUUUCCAGAGAUGGAUUGGUGCCUUCGGGAACUGUGAGACAGGUGCUGCAUGGCUGUCGUCAGCUCGUGUUGUGAAAUGUUGGGUUAAGUCCCGCAACGAGCGCAACCCUUAUCCUUUGUUGCCAGCGGUCCGGCCGGGAACUCAAAGGAGACUGCCAGUGAUAAACUGGAGGAAGGUGGGGAUGACGUCAAGUCAUCAUGGCCCUUACGACCAGGGCUACACACGUGCUACAAUGGCAUAUACAAAGAGAAGCGACCUCGCGA